Molecule: long non-coding RNA, 600 nt
Filed under: Bos taurus (domestic cattle)
Lineage: Eukaryota; Metazoa; Chordata; Mammalia; Artiodactyla; Bovidae
Description: long non-coding RNA NONBTAT003000
Source: RNAcentral
UUUUUACCAGCAACAAUUAGAUGAAUUUUAUGUGUACUCCUGGGUUAUUACCGCAGAAAUUUAUAAUUUGUCAAAGCAGGAGACUGUUGAUCUCAACUAUGUUUUCAACUACUACUGAAGCACUUUUUAAAAAUCUGAAAUUUGUGAGCUCAUUUGCCCAGCUUCUGACACACAGACUGGCCCACCAGACCCUCUAUUAACUGUUGAACUGAAUUGAAAUAGUCUUCCUGCAAAAUUCGCCUCUGAUUCCAUUUUUUCCCCCCACAUGAAAAGCAGUCGAAAAGCAUACUGGAUUUUCUCUUUGUAUUCCUGGAGCUAGCAGUGUUGGGAACACUGCAGGUGCGCAAAAAAUAUUUGUCAACGGUUGAAGUAGCAUGUGUCUAGCUAUUGUUCAAAUUAUGGUUAUGUUUAAAGUAUUUCUGGGUUUUAAAAACCAAAAUGUAAGUUCCUCACAUGCGAUAAAAUUUUAAAGGAGCUGUAUUUCAAGUACAGAAAAUGAAUUUCACACUCCCUACUUCUCAAGAAAAACUGGAUCGGGGCAGAUGAGACAGAGAAGUAGUAUCUGUUAAACACGGACUUGCUGGUCAGACCUUAUUCUUU